AGCCUGUGGUGUGGACAUAUUCUAAGUAAAUCCUUAAAUCUCUCCCAAGCUUCAUACAAGGACUCACUAUCAAAUUGUGUAAAUGAUGUUAUAUCAUUCCUCAUGUU
RNAcentral lists this small nucleolar RNA (107 nucleotides) under Theobroma cacao (cacao). RNAcentral describes it as "Plant small nucleolar RNA R71". It matches the Rfam family "Plant small nucleolar RNA R71". From Rfam's summary of the family: R71 is a member of the C/D box family of snoRNAs containing the C (UGAUGA) and D (CUGA) box motifs. Lineage: Eukaryota; Viridiplantae; Streptophyta; Magnoliopsida; Malvales; Malvaceae. The record is from Rfam by way of RNAcentral.